RNAcentral lists this transfer RNA (72 nucleotides) under Chloroflexota bacterium. RNAcentral describes it as "Chloroflexi bacterium (mine drainage metagenome) tRNA-Asn". It matches the Rfam family "tRNA". Rfam says of the family: Transfer RNA (tRNA) molecules are approximately 80 nucleotides in length. Their secondary structure includes four short double-helical elements and three loops (D, anti-codon, and T loops). Further hydrogen bonds mediate the characteristic L-shaped molecular structure. tRNAs have two regions of fundamental functional importance: the anti-codon, which is responsible for specific mRNA codon recognition, and the 3' end, to which the tRNAs corresponding amino acid is attached (by aminoacyl-tRNA synthetases). tRNAs cope with the degeneracy of the genetic code in two manners: having more than one tRNA (with a specific anti-codon) for a particular amino acid; and 'wobble' base-pairing, i.e. permitting non-standard base-pairing at the 3rd anti-codon position. Lineage: Bacteria; Bacillati; Chloroflexota. RNAcentral also lists the same sequence under 2 other names. The record is from RNAcentral.
UCCUCGAUAGCUCAAUGGCAGAGCAACCGGCUGUUAACCGGUAGGUUACUGGUUCGAAUCCAGUUCGGGGAG